AUCCCAGCUUCGGGCUCAGACCUGCUGUGUCCCGCCCAGAACUUGUCUGCAUCCCUACGCUUCAGGUUCUGUACCCUGCUGUGCCCCUACUUCCAGAAUUCUGUCUGCAAUCCCCAUGGCUUCAGGCCUUUGCACCUGCACCUGCUGUGUCCCGCCCAGAACUCUGUCUGAAAUCCCCACGGCCGCCGCGGCUUCCAUGGCUCAGGUCUCAGCUUCAACGUCGCCUCCUGGGAGCGUGGGACCCGGGGAGGAGGAAGCGGGUCCCGGGGAGGCGGAACCGGGUCCAAGGAGGCAGAAGCCGGUUGUACGUAGGGCCGGUGGGCUCCUGAGGCUGACAAUCCCAGGCCCCCAGACCACGUGGGGAGGGAAGUCACAGCCAGCCUGGGGCUCCCAGAGGUUUGGGUGGGGCCUGGCUUGAGACCCCGUGGCCCUCACCUCAAGCUUCUGUCUCCCCUCAAUGCCCACUCCUCUUUGUGCCUAGUGCCCCUGGGGCUUCUCUUACAAAGACACCCACCACCCACAUCCAGCCAGGCCUCAUCUUAACGAGAUUACAUAUCCACUGGGGGCGACCCCAUUUCAAUAAAGCCGGGAAUUCCUAUGGUGCAGGCGUGAGAAUU
Molecule: long non-coding RNA, 617 nt
Filed under: Papio anubis (olive baboon)
Lineage: Eukaryota; Metazoa; Chordata; Mammalia; Primates; Cercopithecidae
Description: lncRNA (ENSPANG00000042919.1)
Source: RNAcentral